Molecule: unclassified non-coding RNA, 317 nt
Filed under: Hevea brasiliensis (rubber tree)
Lineage: Eukaryota; Viridiplantae; Streptophyta; Magnoliopsida; Malpighiales; Euphorbiaceae
Source: RNAcentral
GGCUCAUUGUGAAGAUAAGUCAUGCCUCUGGCAAUAUCCAAUGCAAAGUUAAUGGCUGUUGAAGGACUUAGUGCACCCUUUUCCUUGAGGUACUGAUGAAGAUCACCCCCUCGUAAAUACUCAGUGAUCAACAUAAGAGGCUUCUUCUCAGUGACAGCUCCUAGAAAUUGGACUAUAUUUGGGUGGCGAAGCUUCACUAGCAAAUUAACCUCAUGCCUGAAAUCCUGAAUCACCAAUCUAUCAUCUGAAAGGGAUGGUAGAAUGCGCUUGACAGCUACAGGUGUUCCACGCCAAUAGGCUUUCAAAAUCUCCCCAAA